GGGCGGAUAGUAUAAUGGCUAUUAUGUCGGUUUCCAAGUCCGAAGAUUGAGGUUCGAUUCCUUGUCUGCCCG
This 72-nucleotide transfer RNA is filed under the name Ralstonia phage RSP15. It matches the Rfam family "tRNA". From Rfam's summary of the family: Transfer RNA (tRNA) molecules are approximately 80 nucleotides in length. The record is from Rfam by way of RNAcentral. Lineage: Duplodnaviria; Heunggongvirae; Uroviricota; Caudoviricetes; Pantevenvirales; Ackermannviridae.